GUGAACACACGCCAGCAGGGAGUGCCAGCGGAGAGGCUCCCCAGAGGGUUUCCAAAGCCUCGCUGCCUGGAGUCUGGCGUAGCCACAGCUGAAGCCCCCCUUCCACUCAUCCUGGACGACGGAGUGGCUUACGAGGUCCGAGAAAUCCCGGAUUCCCGGCGCCAUGGUGGCCAACUUGAGUACCUAGUGGACUGGGAAGGUUAUGGUCCUGAGGAAUGUUCCUGGGUUCCACGCAACGACAUACUCGACCCGAAUUUACUGGACACCUUCCAUGCAACUCAUCCCGACAG
Molecule: long non-coding RNA, 290 nt
Organism: Cyprinus carpio carpio
Lineage: Eukaryota; Metazoa; Chordata; Actinopteri; Cypriniformes; Cyprinidae
Source: Ensembl